AAAGAAAAAUAAUUAGGAAAGAAAAAGUUAAAGUUUGUACCUUUUGUAUUAUGGUUUAACAAGGUUAUGCAAAUAGUAUUUUAUAACCCGAAGCUGAGCGAGCUAGUAUACUCUGCUUUAAGAGAAAGAGCUUUUACUGUUGCAAUAGUAAGGUUUGAGGGUAUAUUAGAUGUGAAAUGCUAAUCGUGUUCAGAGAUAGCUGGUAUUCCUAGAAAUAAGUGUUAGCUGAGUAUAUGUUUUUAUUAUAAAGUAUUAUUUUAUAGGAUAAUAAAGUAUUUUUGAUAAUAAUAUAGUUGUAAGACAGAAAGGGAUAAGCUUUUCUGUCAAUAAAGAAAAAGCUUUGUUUAUUAAUUAAGGGUGGUUUUUAUAAAAUGUGUUGAGUGUUAAUNNNNNNNNNNNNNNNNNNNNNNCAACUUUAUAGAUGGCGUUAGAGCCUAUUUAGUAGAAGUCAAUACAGAUAAUUUUUGUAAAACAAUUCUAAAUUAUAAAAAUUUAUAGGAAAAUUUCAUUAGUUUGAAAGAUAUGAUGUUAAAAUUAGUAGAGAAUAAGAUAAUAUUGCUUGUAAAUUAAUCAAUCCUAACGUUGGAUGGAACAAUGGUUUAUUUAUAAUCGGGAAAUUAGUUUGUUUUGGUUGUCUACUAACACAAGUAAUACAUAAUAAAAUAGUAAAGGGAAAGGAACUCGGCAAAUAAAGAUUUNNNNNNNNNNNNNNNNNNNNCGCUCUUUGUAAAGAAUCUAAUAUAUAAAGGGUUCUGCCUGCCCAGUGACUUAGUUAAACGGCCGCGGUAUCUUGACCGUGCAAAGGUAGCAUAAUCAUUUGCCUUUUAAAUGGAGGCUGGUAUGAAUGGCAAGACGGAAAUUAAGCUGUCUCUCUCUUUUAUCUUGAAAUUAAUAUUCUUGUGAAGAAGCAGGAAUAGAGUCGUAGGACGAGAAGACCCUAUCGAGCUUUAGUAGAAAUAGAAUACAAAUUUGUUUAAUACUUUUUUGUUGCUAAUUAAUUGUUAUUAACAAUUUUUAUGGUUUUACUUACAAAAACAGUGGAAUUGUGUAUGUAAUACUUAGGUUGGGGCAACCACGGAGAAUAAUUAACCUCCGUUAGUUAUAUUGAAAAAAAAAUGUUUUUUCAGUAUAAGAAUUAUUUAAUAAGUGAUCCAUCUUAAUGGUGAACAAAAGAAUAAGUUACCGUAGGGAUAACAGCGUAAUUUUUUUGGAGAGUUCAUAUUGAUAAAAAAGUUUGCGACCUCGAUGUUGGAUCGGGAUUUCCUGGGGAUGUAGCAGUUCCCAAUGGUUGGUCUGUUCGACCAUUAAAAUCCU
This 1314-nucleotide ribosomal RNA is filed under the name Astrotholus antarcticus. Its description in RNAcentral is "partial 16S ribosomal RNA". It matches the Rfam family "Bacterial large subunit ribosomal RNA", at positions 537 to 2597 of the family's 2925-position model. Lineage: Eukaryota; Metazoa; Echinodermata; Asteroidea; Valvatida; Asterinidae. The record is from RNAcentral.